RNAcentral lists this ribosomal RNA (454 nucleotides) under Allobates gasconi. RNAcentral's name for it is "partial large subunit ribosomal RNA". It matches the Rfam family "Bacterial large subunit ribosomal RNA", at positions 1928 to 2532 of the family's 2925-position model. Lineage: Eukaryota; Metazoa; Chordata; Amphibia; Anura; Aromobatidae. The record is from RNAcentral.
CGGCCGCGGUAUCCUAACCGUGCGAAGGUAGCGUAAUCACUUGUUCUUUAAAUGAGGACUAGUAUGAACGGCUUCACGAAAGCUAUACUGUCUCCUUUGUCCAAUCAGUUAAACUAAUCUCCCCGUGAAGAAGCGGGGAUAUACCUAUAAGACGAGAAGACCCUGUGGAGCUUUAAACACCUUAAAACAUUUGUCAUUCUACUUCACAACUUCCAGAAAACUUUACUAAACCCAACACUCUGUUUUAGGUUUUAGGUUGGGGUGACCACGGAGUAAAACUUAACCUCCACGUAGAAAGAAACUCCCUUUCUAAGCAAAAAGCUACAUCUUUAUGCAUCAAAAUAUUGACUUAAAUUGACCCAAUUAUUUGAUCAACGAACCAAGUUACCCUAGGGAUAACAGCGCAAUCCGCUUUAAGAGCUCCUAUCGACAAGCGGGCUUACGACCUCGAUGU